This 516-nucleotide ribosomal RNA is filed under the name uncultured bacterium. RNAcentral's name for it is "bacterial SSU rRNA". It matches the Rfam family "Bacterial small subunit ribosomal RNA", at positions 1 to 518 of the family's 1533-position model. The record is from RNAcentral.
AGAAUUGAUCUGGUCAGAACGAACGCUGGCGGCGCGUUUAAGCAUGCAAGUCGAGCGGCAAGGGCCUUCGGGCCCUAGAGCGGCGGACGGGUGAGUAACACGCGGACAAUCUGCCCCCCGGCCCGGGAUAGCCCAGGGAAACCUGGAUUAAUACCGGAUGAGACGGGACCCGCGAUGGCGGGAUCCGGGAAAGGCGCUGCGGCGCCGCCGGGGGAUGAGUCUGCGUCCCAUUAGCUAGACGGCGGGGUAACGGCCCACCGUGGCGACGAUGGGUAGCCGGCCUGAGAGGGUGGACGGCCACAUUGGAACUGAGACACGGUCCAGACUCCUACGGGAGGCAGCAGCUAAGAAUCUUCCGCAAUGGGCGAAAGCCUGACGGAGCCGACGCCGCGUGAACGAAGAAGGCCGUGAGGUUGUAAAGUUCUUUUCGGGAGGGGGAACAACCGUGGCAGGGAAUGGCCGCGGGAUGACGUGAAUCCCGGAAUAAGCCCCGGCUAACUACGUGCCAGCCGCGGC